Molecule: long non-coding RNA, 477 nt
Filed under: Panax ginseng (ginseng)
Lineage: Eukaryota; Viridiplantae; Streptophyta; Magnoliopsida; Apiales; Araliaceae
Description: long non-coding RNA (PGIN_LNC014565)
Source: RNAcentral
UCAUUUUCUAAUAUAUAUCAGAUUCAUAACUUUCCCUUCUAAAUUCAUUUCUGUUAGCAAACUCCAAUACAUACCUCUCCACGAAUAACAACUCACAUAGUCACAAUUAUUUGUAUUUUCCAUUAAUAAAUAAUCAUUGAAGAAAUAUUCAGACUAUUACAAAAAUCCAGAUAUUAAGCGUCAGUGCCGCAGCGCAUCAUGAUUUGGAGAAGCAUUUAAAUCGAUUAAGAGGCUUCACAGCUACCCUCUUCAGAAUUUCCGCCUGCAUCUCUUCAUCCCAAUUUCCGUACUCCGUAUUGGGAUCACAUAAUUCUUCUCACACGUAAAAAUAUCAGUUUUAAUGUGAUGGUAAAUGUGAAUUUUUGUUUUCUUGUUUAAGUACCAAAGAAAUUUGGUCCUCUUGAUCCACUGAGGUGCAAAUAUUUUUAUUUAUUUUUUAUUUUAAGUGCGACUUAAUGCUCUCCCCUGAUAUGUCGG